RNAcentral lists this long non-coding RNA (1044 nucleotides) under Lathyrus oleraceus (garden pea). RNAcentral describes it as "Pisum sativum (pea) long non-coding RNA (PSAT_LNC008214)". The record is from RNAcentral. Lineage: Eukaryota; Viridiplantae; Streptophyta; Magnoliopsida; Fabales; Fabaceae.
UCUUUUGACACAGAAAAAAUAAUAAUUUUAUACUCUACAUUUUGUUAUUCGCUCUUCCAAAUAGUUGAAUUACAUAUACAUUGGAUAGCAACAUUACAUCAUCUCUUGAAAAUAAAUACAUAUUUCAAUGACGGUUGGAGAUUUUUUUAGUAUUAUGAAAAGCUUACCAUUAUUAGUUGAUCAAAGACUUUGUGUCUUACAACAUGUGUCUAGUCAAUUAUCUCUCCCAAUUGAGUUUGUUAAAAUGAUAUUAUAUGGGGAAGGCACCAUCUGUAACUUGCCUACCACUCCACUCCCCAUACCUCAUCCAGAUAAGAAAAAAAUAUUAAUUAUAAUAUAUUCUUUAAUAUAUUAAUUAACAUUUUUCUAUUCAUUUGAUCAAUACUAAAAUGGAAAUGUUUAAAGUGAACAAUACUAAGAUUACUGAAAUUCAGUUUGAUGAAUGUUAAUGAUACAUCCAUUAUUACACCAUUAAGAAAAUGAAACAAAAUAAGUUAUACAUGGCAGAAUCAUUUCAUUGUGUUAGAAAAUGAAUCCUCCACUUGUUUGGAAAAACAUGGAUCAGAAACUAUUAGAGAGAGCAAGACAAUUAGAGGAGUGAAGAAGAGAACAAAACCAAAUGGUACCAUCCAAAGUUGCUUAUUUGUUGGAUGAUAUUUGUGUAGCCACCAUCCAAGAACACAACCACCAACUAUGCUUGUGAAUAUGGAUGUGAAUAAAAUUACAAAGUAUGGAAGCUUUGUAAUCCACUUACUUUUCUUGUAGGUUCCAUUUUCCACUCCUUCAUCUGUUCUUCCCAUAUUUGAUUGGUGCUCUUAGAAAGAAGACUUGUUAUUCAUUUUGCUUAAAAUAAGGGGCAUGCAAAAAUUGCCAUAAUGUAUAAUAGAAGUAUACUUGGUUACGACUGUUUUUAAGUAGCAAAGUCGUAGAAUAUGUUUGAGCAAAUUCGUCGGCUCGUUGAAAAUUUAUGGAAUGUGAAAGAAAUGGGGACAAAACAAGAGUAUUAAAAUAAGAAAAUGAAUAUUGUUUUGUGGACACUAAAAC